Molecule: transfer RNA, 61 nt
Filed under: Paramuricea clavata
Lineage: Eukaryota; Metazoa; Cnidaria; Anthozoa; Malacalcyonacea; Plexauridae
Rfam family: tRNA
About the family: Transfer RNA (tRNA) molecules are approximately 80 nucleotides in length. Their secondary structure includes four short double-helical elements and three loops (D, anti-codon, and T loops).
Source: Rfam by way of RNAcentral
GCCUCUGUAGCUCAGUUGGUUAGAGCGUGCAGGGCCGUGGGUUCAAUUCCUACCAGAGGGC